RNAcentral lists this ribosomal RNA (471 nucleotides) under Streptococcus lutetiensis. Its description in RNAcentral is "bacterial SSU rRNA". It matches the Rfam family "Bacterial small subunit ribosomal RNA", at positions 57 to 512 of the family's 1533-position model. Lineage: Bacteria; Bacillati; Bacillota; Bacilli; Lactobacillales; Streptococcaceae. The record is from RNAcentral.
GCAGUAGACGCUGAAGACUUUAGCUUGCUAAAGUUGGAAGAGUUGCGAACGGGUGAGUAACGCGUAGGUAACCUGCCUACUAGCGGGGGAUAACUAUUGGAAACGAUAGCUAAUACCGCAUAACAGCAUUUAACACAUGUUAGAUGCUUGAAAGGAGCAAUUGCUUCACUAGUAGAUGGACCUGCGUUGUAUUAGCUAGUUGGUGAGGUAACGGCUCACCAAGGCGACGAUACAUAGCCGACCUGAGAGGGUGAUCGGCCACACUGGGACUGAGACACGGCCCAGACUCCUACGGGAGGCAGCAGUAGGGAAUCUUCGGCAAUGGGGGCAACCCUGACCGAGCAACGCCGCGUGAGUGAAGAAGGUUUUCGGAUCGUAAAGCUCUGUUGUAAGAGAAGAACGUGUGUGAGAGUGGAAAGUUCACACAGUGACGGUAACUUACCAGAAAGGGACGGCUAACUACGUGCCAGC